GCCUAUAGUCCCAGCCCUUUUGAGGUUGAGGCAGAGAAUAAAAUGCUUGAUGCCAGCGGUGCAUGUGGUCACCUACAAAACAAAACAAGACACCCCCCACCUCAAUUUUUAAAGCAUGCUAAUCACCAAAUUAGAAUAAGGCUAUACGUGGGUAUGGGGUGGGAAUGCAGUUGGUCAAGGGAGAAGGAUAUAGCUGCCUUAGUAAUACUUUAUUUUGUAAGCUAGAUAGUGAUUUAUUAUAGAAGCCAACAUUGCUGUUCUCCUAGAGACAGCCUUCUCUUUGGGCCUAAGAAAGGGCACAUAUCUUAAGUAAAUGGUCCCUAUGCCCAGUCUGCUGCCUAUUUGGUUUGUUAUGUUGUACUUUUCUGUCUCUCUUCUUUGUUUAUCUUAUUUUGUGGAUAUCCUUAUAUUUUUUUGUGCACCUAAAAGCUAACUUGUGUGACAAUUGGAUACCAUGUUACUAUUCCAAACUGUGUUAAUUAAGCUAUGAGCUUUAUAAUUUCAGAUUUUAGGACAAUUGGGGGACCUUGGGUAAUUGCCAGUAAGAGAGAAACAAAAAUUCACUGAAGUGAGGUAAAAUGGGUUUUAUGUCUAUUUGAGUAUGCUUGUAGUAAAUCACUAGAAUGUUCCAUUGCAGGUUUAGUAAGUGGUCAGAUUCUUGAGUUUUGAGAUCCAGUUUAUAGGUAUUUCAUACAUACCUUCCAUAAUAGUAUUGAUGUUUGCCAAAUUAGUUAAGCCUUACCUAUAACCAUAUUGUAUUUCUCCAUUCUCUUGUUCCCACAUAGGCAGUUCUCCAGUUCUUACAUGGCCCAUAGUUCUUCAAACUGAUCUGACUGUGCUUCUUCCUAGUGCUGCUAAUUCAGCAGCUUGUCUGCUGUUAGCUGUGUGUGUCGGUGUCCUCAGUAAACCUCCUACUGCCAGAAACCCAAGAACCCUCAAAAUAAUGUGCAGUUGAUUACUUCACUCCUGUGUUUAAACUUUAGUUACAUUUACACAUUAGUUUGUCUUCACUGUCGGAUAGAAGUUAUACCUCUGGCCAAGAUGGAAUGGUUCUCUUGCAUGGAGAAAGGUGAAGGGGAAGCAGCUUUCCUCAGGGGUGUUACCGGUUGUUUUGAUGCAUAGCGUAGAGCCAUUGUGAAGCCCUUAACAAGGCACGCAGGGUCGGACAGAAAGGACUUUGUUUACUUAUUUAUUUGGCUCAUGAGGUAUUUUUGUUUGUUUUGUAUUUUUUUUAAAACAGUUGGAGAACCUGUUAUAGAUUCCUUAUAUCUUAAAGUAGCCAUUGUAUCCUAUACUAUUUAAAUUACUUUAAUGUUCCAUGCUAUUUUGGUCAUCCCUUGUAGGACUGUAAGAUUUUUCUCUCUAAAGUUCUUUUGCUUUCUUUCAUAAUUUAGUAUUUGCUACUUUCUUUCUAGUCUUUUGAAAUGGCCUCCUUUCUCUUCCUUUAGAAGCCAUUUCAGUGUGUCAGGUCAUCAUUUAGAAAUAAGUAAAUCUUAAUGGCUCAGCAUGACAAAGCUUUCUUUUCAGUCACAUGGUGUGAUGGAUCUCUGUUCUGUGAUAUCAUCAAUAUUCUGGGCUGCCAGCUAAUGGCGUGAUCACUCUUUAAAAGUUUUCAUUGGACACAAUAAAGGUCAGGUAAUUUCACAUCUGUUUUAGUUGGUUACUUGUUCACACCUAACUACAAGAGCAAGGGAGUCCAACAAUUUUAUGUGGUCACGAGAACUUGGGAAGUAUUUUAUAUAUAACAAGAAUUGCCACAUGUAAUGUCUCUACACCUGACUAACUCAACCUACUUCUUACCUCUGUGAUAUUUUGUAAAUAGUCUCACUGAAUUAAAAUUAUAAUAAAUUGUAAUAGUAUAGAAUUUGAUGUGUUUUGAAAUUGGCUCCGAACUUCUGAAGUUUCAAGACAGCUAGCUGGGCAAACUUACCUCAGUCAUUUUAUUGACCUGACAGCUGUGCAGUCCUUUGCUUUAUAAGUCUAGGUUAAUGGUCAUUUACCAGGAAUUAUUUGGUAUCUAAAAACAAAACUUGCUUUGUAUCGUGUGGUGGUACAAGCCUUUAAACCCAACACUCACAUUAAUCUCAGAGCUUGCAAAACUGCAGCAGAUGAUAUCUCUGUGAAUUCUAGGUCAGUCUGGUCUACUUACUGAGUUCUAGGCUAGCAGGGGCUGCAUUGUGGGAUCCUGUCUCAGAAAAAGAAAAAAACAAAAACAACAACAGUAAAAAACCAAAUGGUACUUGAACCUCACCCCAGAGCAGUGAAAUCAGAGCCUCAGGCUGGACCCAGGCAUCAGAGUUAUUUGACUUGACGCAGUUUUGAGACACACACAGGGCUGAAAAGCACUACUGUGUUCCUUGCAUGUUUCCUGGAGAGGCUCUUUGAACAUCAGGCCUUGUUCUGCUUUUAUUAUUCCUAAAGCUUAUCACGUUUCCUGUUAUUUUGGCCCCAAACCUGUGUUAUAUAUUCAUUUUUAUAUUUGUGUAUAAAUAUAAUAUGUGGUUUUGGAGACACUACAUUUUAAGAAUUAGCACUACAUCUAAUUAGUUCAUCAUAUACAUAUCUAGUGCUUGUCAUACUGUCUGUCACAGGUUUUCUAAGUCUCUCUCUCUAUUCUGAUACCCAUACCCACAUACAUGUGUUUCUUACAUGUUCUUUUGUCUUUUUCUUUCAUUAGAUGAGAUAAAUAACAUUUGGAAAACAAAGAAACAUGAGGAUGACAUUUUAAAAAUACAAAGCAACAACUGCACACAGACAGACAAGGUUAUUAGUAUUCCUUUAAACACCCCAGAGCCUGGCUCUUGUGGCUGCCGUUUCUAACAGCUGAUCACAGUAGCAUUCACUUAACCUUCAACUUUUUUGAUCUGUGAUGCAACUAAUCCAGUCUUGCACUCUGCUUUCCCUUCCAGUGGUGCCCAUUGCUUGGAUGUCUGAUAGUCAGCUUCUUACAGUAUGUGUUGAAAGAAUACUAUAUUCUGAGAACAGCAUGUUAAAGAGAAACCCAGAUUUGAGACUUAUGUCAUGUGUAAGGGACAGUGUGACAUGGUUCCAGCACCUAGAACAGAGCCAGCAGGGUGUGGGCCUCCAUGAGUAUUGAUUGUUGCUGUGGGCAUAUUGUUUGUUUGUAUAAUAAUGUUUUUAUGUUCCUCUUUCAUGGAAUGUACUCCUUGUUGAAUGACUCUGUGAUAAUCUGAGACAGCAUGAGUCUGGGAGGGGAAGGCUAAUGUCUCAGCAAAAUGCUAAGCUCUGGUCUGGGACAUUCAGGACAGCCUUUAUGGCUUUGGAAAAGAACUCUAAAAACACGAAUUUGAAAAUAUAUAAUUUCUCAACUAUGCAAAAUAUAAGGAUGUAAUGUGAAUUGUCUAAGAAGCUUCACAACUCAAGGACCAGAGGCAGCUGCACCGUGAGCCAGCUUGUCAGAAAGAUAAGGAGAUGAGAUAUGGGGAGUGAUGAUUGAAAGGCAAGCUCCCACCCAGCUUUUUUUGUUUUAUGUUUACUAAGGCAGGUGGAUUCCUGAGUUCAGGGUCAUCCUGGGACUGGGCUGGGUCCAGGUGUGGUUGGUAUGGUUAAUCUCAGGAUUUGUCCCACCCAGCUAAGUUUACACAUGCAGUCAGAUCUCUGAAUUCUUUUGCAGUGUUUUAAAAAGUGUGCUUGCUGUCCUUUUCUUAGAGUCUAGUGCUGGUCCAUUGGAUGGUCAAGAGGGAACCUGGAAUAAAUCACUGGGUUGAUAUGUAAAUAGAAACCUGGGCAAAAGGUGGUAGCAGUUCUUUAGAAUGUUUUCUAGGAGAACUGAGCUGUCUGGAGAUCUCUGGAGAGUGAGCACAGCUCUUAAAGAAUUUUUUUCUAACUGGAUUUCUGAGCCUAGUUGGAAACCCCAAGAUUUACAGAGAGUGAACACAGCUCUUAUAGAAUUAUUAUUUUCUUUAUUAUUUUUAGCUUCCUGAUUUUGAUCAGAAAACCCGUGAAUCAUUUUUAAAAUUUUUCUAACAGGAUUUCUCACUUGGUUGGAAGAUCAAGAAUUUUUUAUAGCAGCUUUUCUGACUUUGGUCAGAAAACCCACGAGCCAUCCAGAGAACUUUUAGAAUUUUUACUAGCAGAGAGAGAGCUGUGUCCAGCAGAAAGCUAGCUGUUUCAACCAGGGAGUUUUUUAGAAUAGC
RNAcentral lists this long non-coding RNA (4157 nucleotides) under Mus musculus (house mouse). RNAcentral describes it as "long non-coding RNA chr2:61743339-61747496". The record is from RNAcentral. Lineage: Eukaryota; Metazoa; Chordata; Mammalia; Rodentia; Muridae.